GACGAACGCUGGCGGCGUGCCUAACACAUGCAAGUCGAGCGGAGUCGAUCGACGGAAGCCUUCGGGCGGAAGAUGGUUGACUUAGCGGCGGAUGGGUGAGUAACGCGUGGGCAACCUGCCUCGAAGACCGGGAUAACAGUCCGAAAGGGGCUGCUAAUACCGGAUGUGGUCAAGGAUCCGCAUGGAUUUUUGAUUAAAGGGGAAACCCGUUUCGAGAUGGGCCCGCGUCCUAUCAGCUAGUUGGUGAGGUAAAAGCUCACCAAGGCGACGACGGGUAGCCGGCCUGAGAGGGUGACCGGCCACACUGGAACUGAGACACGGUCCAGACUCCUACGGGGGGCAGCAGUGGGGAAUCUUCCACAAUGGGCGAAAGCCUGAUGGAGCGACGCCGCGUGAGCGAAGAAGGCCUUCGGGUUGUAAAGCUCUGUCUGGAGGGACGAAGGAAGUGACGGUACCUCCGGAGGAAGCCACGGCUAACUACGUGCCAGCAGCCGCGGUAAAUCGACGUGUA
RNAcentral lists this ribosomal RNA (511 nucleotides) under uncultured bacterium. RNAcentral describes it as "bacterial SSU rRNA". It matches the Rfam family "Bacterial small subunit ribosomal RNA", at positions 28 to 533 of the family's 1533-position model. The record is from RNAcentral.